This is a non-coding RNA of Schizosaccharomyces pombe (fission yeast), 1424 nucleotides long. NCBI's taxonomy places the organism in Eukaryota, Fungi, Ascomycota, Schizosaccharomycetes, Schizosaccharomycetales, Schizosaccharomycetaceae. The record is from the annotation of a GenBank genome assembly.
UAUCAAUAUAUCAAUUAAAAAGAUUGAGCAUAUAAGAAGAGAUAAUAGUGUAAGAUGGGUUUGCAAACACUAGCUGAGCUACUCCUUUGUAGGCAAAAAGAAAAAGGAAUAUUGGAGAAAAAAAGAAAAAAAAGGGUGUGUGUCGAGUGUGAAGGCAGUAUGUAUGACUUGAAAAAGGAAACGGCACACUCGGUUCCGACGAGCAAGGGGAAAUCAGUUACAAAUUCAACCGAUUGAAAAGAGAAAUUACUUAUUUUUACUCUUCCCCAAAAAAUAUACUAGGCGUAGUAAAAAGCGCUAUACUUUUGACUACGUUGUAUGUAUAUGUAUAUGUGUAUAUAAUACAGAUGAGCAAGUUUAUGUGGAUGCAGAUAUAUAGGGAUAUAUGUACACAGACAAACUACCUUUUUCCUAGACGAGAAAAACUAAACGUUGAAACGCCAGAAGAGGCGAGUUUAAUAUGUGGGAAACUGAGACUAGCGCUUCAAUGAUGUGGAAAUCUGUUCCUUAUCUAAGAAGCGACGGUUUCGUUUACACGUAUCGACACGAUAAUACCGUAGCGAUGUUACGCAAGUGUGUAUCCACCAUAUCAACCAACAAACGUCUGCAAGAGGCAAAAACUGACGGUUCGCUGACAACGAGUUCUCCCAUAAAAGAAAUGUGAUGAUGUUGGAGUAAGCCGAUGUCACUGUAACACUCAUCACGUGGCGAUUGGGAAGACAGCACUUCCACCGUUUAUGUAAGAUUAGAAAAAAGACGCGAUCGAGAUUGUAGUGCUGUAAAUUGGUAUGCCAAAGUAGAAAAAACAGAGAGCAGGUCGUUUUUUGUUACAAAAAAAAAAGAAAAAGAUGGAAAUUUACGGCUUUAUUGAUUGAUGAAUAGUUUAAGAGAAACUCAUUUUAUUUUAUUGAUGAGUUUUCAAUUUUUUGCUAAAAGUAACCUACGGGAUAAUCCGAGUGUGAAGAGGAUGUGUAGCAAAUUUUUACCUACAUUCAAUCCCGUAUGCUUUGGCGGGGAGAGGGGAGAGAUAAAGGAUGAUUAUUGGUCAAGGUGAAUAAGAAAGAAAAAAACUUGCUGCAGCAGCGACAACGUUCAAGUUAAGCGUAAACCAAUGUAGCUUGGCAGAUAGAAAUGAAAAAGAAGAGGAAGAAAAAAAAAAGGCUAUAGAACUGGAGCAUAUGGUUUGAGGAUAAGGAAUGUGUAUUCCAAACUGAGAGACAUAGUUAUAAGUAUGAUUCUUUGUUUAUUUUAUAAACCAUGAAAAACUAGAACUUUUAUUAUCUGCUACAAUGGUUUUUCUAAUUCUAUUUGUUUACCAUAUGGUGGUGGUGAUGGAUGAUCAGACAAGAUAUUGAUUGAUAUCGUACAUUGGGGGUAAAGAGGAAAUUUUGCUAUUGAAUCUCGCUCCCAUUUUUCGUUUGUAA